This 488-nucleotide ribosomal RNA is filed under the name uncultured bacterium. RNAcentral's name for it is "partial 16S ribosomal RNA". It matches the Rfam family "Bacterial small subunit ribosomal RNA", at positions 28 to 507 of the family's 1533-position model. The record is from RNAcentral.
GACGAACGCUGGCGGCGGGCUUAACACAUGCAAGUCGAACGGAAAGGCCCUGCUUUUGUGGGGUGCUCGAGUGGCGAACGGGUGAGUUACCCGUGAGUAACCUGCCCUUGACUUUGGGAUAUCUUCAGGCAACUGGGGCUACUACCUGAUUGGAGCUCCUGCUGCAUGGUGGGGGUCGGAAAGUUUCGGCUGUUGGGGAUGUACUCGGGGCUUAUUAGCUAGUUGGUGGGGUAAAGGCCUAGCAAGGCGACGACCGGUAGUCGGUCUGAGAGGAGGAUCAGGCACACGGGAACUGAGACACGGUCAAGACGCCUACGGGAGGCAGCAGUGGGGAAGAUUGGACAAUGGGCGAAAGCCUGAUCCAGCAAUGCCGCGUGUGUGAAGAAGGUCUUCGGAUUGUAAAGCACUUUAAGUGGGGAGGAAGGGCAGUAAGUUAAUACCUUGCUGUUUUGACGUUACCAACAGAAUAAGCACCGGCUAACUUCGUG